GCGAGUGUAGCUCAGUUGGUUAGAGCACCUGACUGUUAAUCAGGGUGUCGGGGGUUCAAGUCCCUCCUCUCGCG
This 74-nucleotide transfer RNA is filed under the name Calditrichota bacterium. Its description in RNAcentral is "Calditrichaeota bacterium (activated sludge metagenome) tRNA-Asn". It matches the Rfam family "tRNA". Rfam says of the family: Transfer RNA (tRNA) molecules are approximately 80 nucleotides in length. Their secondary structure includes four short double-helical elements and three loops (D, anti-codon, and T loops). Further hydrogen bonds mediate the characteristic L-shaped molecular structure. tRNAs have two regions of fundamental functional importance: the anti-codon, which is responsible for specific mRNA codon recognition, and the 3' end, to which the tRNAs corresponding amino acid is attached (by aminoacyl-tRNA synthetases). tRNAs cope with the degeneracy of the genetic code in two manners: having more than one tRNA (with a specific anti-codon) for a particular amino acid; and 'wobble' base-pairing, i.e. permitting non-standard base-pairing at the 3rd anti-codon position. Lineage: Bacteria; Pseudomonadati; Calditrichota. The record is from RNAcentral.